Long non-coding RNA from Canis lupus familiaris (dog), 2425 nucleotides. RefSeq lists it as uncharacterized. NCBI's taxonomy places the organism in Eukaryota, Metazoa, Chordata, Mammalia, Carnivora, Canidae. The record is from RefSeq and is a predicted model, not a curated record. The transcript has 4 exons.
CUCCACUUUGCCUCUCUCCCUUCUCCCUGGACACCCUUCUCUCCCCCAUCCCCUUCCUUCCAGCUGUGUGAACAUCUCAAUCGUACCAUGUCGGCAGAUCCUUGCUGGCCUGACAUUUUAUCCUAGGACACCCCUGAGAUGCUCCAGUGGGAGAAACUGGAUGUACCAAAGGGCAGGAUAGCUGGAAGCCGGAGAUGAGAGAAGACAGGCUCCAGGAGAAGAAAAAAGAAAGAGAGAAAGAAAGAAACUUCUCGUUGUCAGAAUCGGAAUGCAUAUCAGUUAUGCUGGAGACAAUGAAAACAUCAAAAAGCACAUACAAGCCAUAAAAAAUUCAGGUCCUCUGAAGCAAUGUGGGACACGCUUGGUUGCGCUCCUCAUUUGCAUGUCAGUACCCACAAUGCUCUGCUGGCUCCCAGAUCUUUCUGAGCAGCCCCAGUGUCUGAGCUCUAGGGAACAAAGUGAAAGGUUCGUGUGUGCUCGUGGGUGAGACAGAGCUGGUGAAGGCACGCUGUGCAGCCUUUAGAAGCCCUGACUGAUGGGGUUGCUACACCACUUGCCUGGAAUUGGAGAUUUGGGGUCAGCCUGUGUCUUCUGAUGCUGGCCCGCAUUCCAAGACGUGUUGGCCUCUUCAGCAUUUGGGCUCCUGAGGACGGUCCCUGCUUGGUCAACGUGAAAACGUAGAGGUGUGACCCUGACCUGCUGCUGGGGACCCAAGGGGAACACGCUGACUUCACUCUUUCCUCCCAAGCACAACACUUUUCUCUGCAAACGUCGCUCCCCUGGACCCCCGCAGAGCCAUGGUCUGCACAUUCCAAAUCCCAGGGGGGCAGAUAGGAAUACAGGGCCCAAAUUAGAAGUCCUUGGAGGCAGGGACAUACAUUUGGUCCCUGACUUGGUGUCCCCAGCCUCCUGGGUGGUCUUGGGGGUGUUACUUGCUCCCUACCAUUCCUCCGUUCCUUCCCAAGCCUGUCCUGUGCUGGGAGGAUCUACAGAGCUUGGGUGGCUAUCACAUCUGCGAUUUUAACAUGGCCAGCCAUUCUGGGACAUGACAAAAUAUGUAAAAAAUAAAAGUAAAGCUCGAUCUUUGAGGCUCCUACCUGGAAGGUUUUUGUCUGGGCUUGUACUUUGAUUUUUGAGCUUCACUUUUCUCAAAGCUGCAAAGGAGUUCUCAGGCUAGAUUAAUUUAGCGGUAGGGAGAUGCGGGCGGAGGAGCGAAUGUGGCUACAUGCGGGCUCUCAACCCACCCCUGACAACCCCCAAGCAUCAGAGGUAAGAUAAAAGUUAGCCCCCACCUAGAAUUCAGAAGCUGGAUCCAGCAGACAGGUUGGUUUGCUUCAGCCUAUACACAGUGCUGUAAAAUGUGUUUCAGUGGUCGCCAACAUUUGAAAAUCAGGAGCUUUUGCAGCAUUUCUUAAGACAUCUGAAGAUUGGACUACACUAGGCCUACAUUUCUUCAUAGUAACCUAGAAGCAGCAGCCCCCGGGGGUGGUGGAGGCUCCCCUCUCCUGCCGGGCCUGCCUUCUCUGGCCCACCCAAGUCUUCCAAGUCCACUCACUCCACCUACCUAUAAUCCUAUCUCGAUUUUGCAGGCUCAGCCUUGGCCAGACUCAUGCUCUGAAUCUCUGAGUUUCCCUACUUUGUUACCAGUCACAUCUGCAUAAGGAUAACCCAGCUUCUGCCUAGCUCUGACAGCUUUUCCUAGUGGGCAUACAGGGGAACCAGGACCAAGGGCCCUGACUUAUAAACACCCCCAGCUUUUCACCUCAAUCCCCAAACAUGCUUGGGGGCUGCUUCAGCAAAUGUGUUUUUCACCUGCUACAGCCCAAGGAGUCUGCUCCAGCCUCCUGGCUCUUCUUGGCACACACGUUUCCCUUCACUUCUGAUGCCUCAAGUAGUCUGAGGUGAGGGGUGGGUUGCAAGGUUUGGAUUUUUCAAAAUUCUUUCCCAGGUUUGUUGUGUCUAAUUUGGGCUGCAAAUGGUUUUUGGUGUCAACGGCUAACCACUGUUUGGUCUGAACAUUCAACUCUGUUGAAUUUAGAUGGCGGUGAAAGCCCAGUUUCUCCAAAUACAGUCUAAAUACAUUCACACAUUUAUUCCCACAUGUAUCUUUAUGUUUCUGCCUGUCUCACCACACCUCAGACAUGUUCAUGGACGGGAGUGUCCUGGGAAGAAAACGGGCAGGUAACUUGACCCUCUACUGUAAACUUCAUAAAAAGAAAAAUCAUUUUUGACCCAAACAGAUGGUGCAUAAUAAAGAUGCAUCCAAGCAAGGGUGUUCGCAUGAGAGCUUGGACACGAGUUCUGUUGUUUUCCUACAACCUAAAAGACAAAUAGUAUCUCUAGAGAGAAGGAGAAAUAGAAAGUUGAGAAAUUUAAGAAAAAGGUCACUUUUGAAAAUUAUCUCCCUCUCCCCCCGCCAAAAAAA